Phragmites australis (common reed) is the source of this 1445-nucleotide long non-coding RNA. RefSeq lists it as uncharacterized. The record is from RefSeq and is a predicted model, not a curated record. Lineage: Eukaryota; Viridiplantae; Streptophyta; Magnoliopsida; Poales; Poaceae. The transcript is spliced from 5 exons.
CCUUCCCCUGGGCUCUCUCCUCCCCUCCCACUCUUCCUCGUCUUCUGCAUAGGCAGGCCUUCCCUGCUCGGUUCUCUCUGGCUUAGCGCGCGACCCCGUCCUCCCCAGCGUCGCCUCGUCCGUGCUGUUGUUUGCCUGCCGCACCUGCGCCGCGAUCGACGCACGACAACCUCGUCUACGCCGCUGGCUCCCUGGCUCGGACCGCAGCCACAUCCUCCCCACUGCCGCGUCUGCUUCAUCGCCGGCCGCACGCACCUGCGCCGUAACUUCUCACGUCCGCACUGACGUCUGUCUCCCCCGCUGGUCGCUGCCACAUAGCGAGCGCCUCCACAGGCGGAGGACUCCUCGGCCAUCACGAGGAUUGCGGUAUUACCUCACCGUAGUCGCGCUGCUGAAAUCAUCCCGUGCCUAGGGCUGCGAUCUUCUGCCGACGGCGACCUCCUCCAAAUCAGCAAGACUAGAUAAUAGUAAAAGGUUCGAAUUUUACAAAGAGGGAAUAUUGCAGCAACCACCAAAGGAAAAGAUGUCAUCUUUGAAUCAGAAUGACGAUCGUACUCCAUUCAGAGACAUAUCCAACACCACCAGCACAAAUGGGCUAAACAGUAUAGAUCCUAGAGAACGUAAGAGGCAAAUGGCAAGGGUCCGGUAUGCGCAAAUGUCUGUCGAAGAAAAAGAUGAAUUACUAAAAAGGCGUUGUGAAGCGUAUCACAGGAAAAAAGCUGAAGCCGCCCUUGUAAAUGUUGAACUACAAUGCCCAACAAGGAAAACAUGGCCCCAGAUGAAAAUUCUGGUUGGUUGCACAUAAGUGAUAUGUACGAGAGGCAAAAAAUCCCUGUGCCAAAUCAGGGUCAAGAUAGUGCCAUGACCAGUACUCAGGCUACAAAUUUCUCUAUUCAAUUAUUCAAUUGCUAGUUACUGUGAAUAGUUAUCAGCUACCAUUAUUUUGUUCCUUUUGUUGAGUGCAUUGGAUAUAUUUGUUUUGCUAUGACUUCCCUAAUCAAUAUGAUAUCUGUUUGAUUGUUUUAGAAUUUAUCAUAUCUAUAGAACAUGCUGAGAUUUUGGAGUAUGUCUAUCUAAUUCCAUAUAAUAUGUAUUGUUUAUAUACAUUAUUCUAAUUUAUUAUUGAACCUAAUGCAAUAUAUUGUUUUAUAGGAAAGAAUGGAUUCGGAGCUCUAAGCCUCAACCGAUUAGCUUAAGCCUAAAAAAGGUCCAAGAAAUAAUAGAUGUGCAAAAGCCUAUAGACAAGGAUUGUUUCAAUAUGGGUGUGAGGAUGUUCACUUGCGACGAGAUCAACCUGUUAAUGGACGAACAAUAUCACUGCAUGGACCUUCAGUUCUAGUUGUUGUGUGACUUUGGAUGACAUCCAAAAUAUAAAAGGAAGCUUGAUGUCUAAUUAUUGGCAAAAACGUUUGAUACGUGGCCUGGGAUGAAGUACAAUAUUUCAC